CGUUCGCGAUCCGUUUCCAGUAUCUGGUGGAGGCUAUAAAAGGGGAGGAGACGGACCCCUUCAGCCAUCAAUCUCUCGGAGGCAAGUCCCACGGGAAGAAGAAGAGGAAACAUGGGAGGGAGUGAGCCACGGGAACAUGAGAGAAUAAAAAAAAUAAGAGGAGAGAGAAGAGUUUUGUUAUUUUGGGAAUAUUUCAAAGAAAGAAAUCAUGAAGGAAGAGAUGGGAGCCUGCUGCUGUGCUGCUGCUGCCGUCUCCAACUCCAUGCAGGGCUGAUCUCCUCACUAGGGCUGGAUGCAACCCUAACAAAGGGUGCCAAGGAUUUUUAUAUUUUGAUUUCUAUUCUUGGAGUUGUAUAAAUCUUAUUCUGCUUCUAAUGAAUAUUUUAUUUCAUCUCAUAUUUAAUUUCUGUGAUUUUAAAUAUGAAGUUUAUACAACUGCUCUUCAUGAUCAUUGAAGUAAAAAUAAGAUAGUUGAGGAUGAUAGUGUUAUUUUGAUGAUUAACAAGGAAUUAUCUAGAGCAUGCUAUAAGUUAAAUUGAUACUUCAUUUAUAAGUUCAUUACUCUCAGUACAUUUGUUUAAUUGAAAAUAUAUAUAUGGUCUUGUUCAUUUGGAUGAAUCUAACC
RNAcentral lists this long non-coding RNA (625 nucleotides) under Phoenix dactylifera (date palm). RNAcentral's name for it is "long non-coding RNA (PDAC_LNC019984)". The record is from RNAcentral. Lineage: Eukaryota; Viridiplantae; Streptophyta; Magnoliopsida; Arecales; Arecaceae.